Long non-coding RNA from Oncorhynchus tshawytscha (Chinook salmon), 1816 nucleotides. The record is from Ensembl. NCBI's taxonomy places the organism in Eukaryota, Metazoa, Chordata, Actinopteri, Salmoniformes, Salmonidae.
CUCUGUUCCACUACUCUACUGGUUUCUCUGUUCCACUACUCUACUGGUUUCUCUGUUCCACUACUCUACUGGUUUCUCUGUUCCACUACUCUACUGGUCUGUUGAACAAUAAUUUUCCCUUUGUUGUCUGUUGACUGUCGUUGUUUUGCUCGUGUUUGGUUUCUACCCGCCUCCCCCCCAUCUUUCAGAUGGGACGUUAAACGGGUGUCCUGACUCUCUGAGGUCAUUAAAGAUCCCAUGGUACUUAUCGUCAGAGUUAGGGGUGUUAACCCCGGUGUCCUGACUCUCUGAGGUCAUUAAAGAUCCCAUGGUACUUAUCGUCAGAGUAGGGGGUGUUAACCCCGGUGUCCUGACUCUCUGAGGUCAUUAAAGAUCCCAUGGUACUUAUCGUCAGAGUAGGGGGUGUUAACCCCGGUGUCCUGACUCUCUGAGGUCAUUAAAGAUCCCAUGGUACUUAUCGUCAGAGUAGGGGGUGUUAACCCCGGUGUCCUGACUCUCUGAGGUCAUUAAAGAUCCCAUGGUACUUAUCGUCAGAGUAGGGGGUGUUAACCCCGGUGUCCUGACUCUCUGAGGUCAUUAAAGAUCCCAUGGUACUUAUCGUAAGAGUAGGGGGUGUUAACCCCGGUGUCCUGACUCUCUGAGGUCAUUAAAGAUCCCAUGGUACUUAUCGUAAGAGUAGGGGGUGUUAACCCCGGUGUCCUGACUCUCUGAGGUCAUUAAAGAUCCCAUGGUACUUAUCGUCAGAGUUAGGGGUGUUAACCCCGGUGUCCUGACUCUCUGAGGUCAUUAAAGAUCCCAUGGUACUUAUCGUCAGAGUUAGGGGUGUUAACCCCGGUGUCCUGACUCUCUGAGGUCAUUAAAGAUCCCAUGGCACUUAUCAUAAGAGUAGGGGUGUUAACCCCGGUGUCCUGACUCUCUGAGGUCAUUAAAGAUCCCAUGGCACUUAUCGUAAGAGUAGGGGUGUUAACCCCGGUGUCCUGGCUAAAUUCCCAAUCUGACCCUCAAACCAUCACGGUCACCUAAUAAUCCCCAGUUUACAAUUGGCUCUUUCAUCCCCCUCCUCUCCCCUGUAACUAUUCCCCAGGUUGUUGCUGUAAAUGAGAACGUGUUCUCAGUCAACUUACCUGGUAAAAUAACGGAUAAAUAAAAAAUAAAAAUAAAAAUCUGAAGCCUGUAUUCAUAGUGUGCAUCCCAAAUGGCACCCUAGUCAAUACAGUGCACUACUAUUUAUUUAUUUAUUUAUUUCACCUUUAUUUAACCAGGUAGGCAAGUUGAGAACAAGUUCUCAUUUACAACUGCGACCUGGCCAAGAUAAAGCAAAGCAGUUCGACAGAUACAACGACACAGAGUUACACAUGGAGUAAAACAAACAUACAGUCAAUAAUACAGUAUAAACAAGUCUAUAUACGAUGUGAGCAAAUGAGGUGAGAAGGGAGGUAAAGGCAAAAAAAGGCCAUGGUGGCAAAGUAAAUACAAUAUAGCAAGUAAAACACUGGAAUGGUAGAUUUGCAAUGGAAGAAUGUGCAAAGUAGAAAUAAAAAUAAUGGGGUCCAAAGGAGCAAAAUAAAUAAAUAAAUAAAAAUUAAAUACAGUUGGGAAAGAGGUAGUUGUUUGGGCUAAAUUAUAGGUGGGCUAUGUACAGGUGCAGUAAUCUGUGAGCUGCUCUGACAGUUGGUGCUUAAAGCUAGUGAGGGAGAUAAGUGUUUCCAGUUUCAGAGAUUUUUGUAGUUCGUUCCAGUCAUUGGCAGCAGAGAACUGGAAGGAGAGGCGGCCAAAGAAAGAAUUGGUUUUGGGGGUGACUAGAGAGAUAUACCUG